Molecule: long non-coding RNA, 9598 nt
Organism: Alligator mississippiensis (American alligator)
Lineage: Eukaryota; Metazoa; Chordata; Crocodylia; Alligatoridae
Exons: 2
Source: RefSeq, a predicted model, not a curated record
CCUGCCCCGCCCCACGGGGCGCCCCGACACGCGGCCUUGGAGACCCCUGAAGCCCCGGCGGGACGGGGGCAGUGGGGCCGCUGCUGGCUCUGGACCGACUCUUGCGGGAAGCACCAAGCGCUGCCAUGCGAUAGUGAAGUAUUUUGACCUUAUGGAAAUCGAGUGUCUGGGAAGGACCCCCCUCCAGAGCCGGGGUCACCCUUGGGCUCGCUGCCUGCUGCCCUUUCCAACAUCAGUGCCGAAGGAGUCUAACCCUGGGGUCCUAGGAUCAUCAGCUGAACUUCAGGAGGUCUAUAUUCAUACUUCUCUGUAACAAUUUGGGCACUUUUCCUCUAAUAGGAAGUAAGGAGAAGGAAAUGAAGUGCUGUUAUGGGGGUAAUGACCCCUAUCGUCAGGGUGCCAAAUUUGCAGAGUUUCUAGGGAAAGUCCUUUUGAAGCUGCCGUGUGAGGCGGAGCCUGCGGGAAGCAGCCAACCCCUGGAAUGAAGCAGGGGGUCCCUAUUCCCACCCCCAACCCCCCCACACACUUCUGGGCCAGGUGUUUGGUACCAUGUAGAGUUUGGCAGGUAGUGUGGCAGGUAUGGGCUGUGUAGGUGAUGCAGGGAAACUGAGGCCUGGGUUGUGGGUUGGGUGGAAAGCAGCUGUGGCAGCCCAGAAGUGGGCAAGAAACACUGGUGACCCUCCCACACCACCCCUUGCCCUAAUUGGGGUCUUCCUUCCCCACUAGAAGGAAGCCUGGAGAAACCCUGGCACUGCCCCCUAGACGGCAUGCUGGUCUGGGGCCUCCACCACCCCCUGGUGGCUUUUGGGCAGCAAUGAAAGGCAACGGUUCUAUGUAGGGCCCUUGGCAGCGUAUGUAAGUGUGGACGCUUCUGGGGAAAGGUUCCCCAAUCUCACUGGACAAUCAGUGACAUUCUUGGAACAGUUCAAGUGUUACAUCUGUGCACACCCUGCGUGUCCACACCCACACCAAGAGCACUCCCAAGAGCCCUCAUCGAUCCCAACAAAGCUGAGCCACAACGAACACUGCAGUAGUUCCCUUUCCCCACCUAAUCUACACAGUGGUUUUGCAACAUCGAUAAGCACACAAAUACGUGCUUGGUGAUAGCAAGGCCUGACAAAAUCUUGUGAAUUCACUAGUUUUGCAAGCCCAGUUUUGGUUUUGGUCGUUGGAAAUUUCCUCUUCACUGUAUGCGUAGCUGAGAAAGGUUCAUCUCUUUUUUGGAAGAGUUCAAUAAGAAAAAUCCUAGGAUUUGUUUUCAGUCCUCUCUCUGUCCCAGUGCUCUUCUGUACCGGUAUAUACUAGAUUCACUGGUUCGCAUUCUGCAAUGGUGCUGCCUCCUUUUCUUAUUUUUUGCUGUUUGCCGGAAACAUUUCACAAACAACCACAAAUCUGCUUCAGAUCCUUAAGAACUUUAGCAGCUUGAAUGCCCCUGAUACCUUACAAAUCUCAACCAUUUUCCAGGUGUUCCUCACUGCACAGCUACUACCGCAUAGAGCUGUUACAAUGCUUUCUUCCCUGGCAAAUCGGGGCAGCCUGCUCAUUGCAAAACAAUUGCUCACAUAAUUCAUUUUGCCUGGCCACCGCGCUACAGGGAAUUUCUACAGACCUUUCCUGGCACUAAGUUAUCAAGCCAGAAUGAAAUUCAAAUAAUUUAGUAGCUCAUCCCCUCUCUCAGCUGUCCAAACCUCCUGCUUGGAUUUUAAAAAAUGUUCCAUUUUCAAAAGCCACUUUCCCAAUUUUGGAACAGAUGCCCGUUUCCUCAGUCACUAUCUUUACCUAAGACCAAGUAAAUACUUCUGGUCUGGACCUUCCAUUAGCAGCUCUGGUCAAAAAUGAGAUUUGAUACAAUGUCCGCGAUUCUUGUGCAUUGCAUGCUUACUGGCUAAAUUUCUCUUAUUCUUGUUUAAGUGUCCAGACCUAAAUGAAAUCUGGAGGCUGGUGCUUGGACUUCCCAGGUUUGUGACUCCAGGUGGGUGGACCACACAUUCCCCAGCUGGGGUGAGGAACUUUAAUUAGACACGGUGGAUGUUCUGUCCUGGCUUGCCUGAGAGUUUGACCAGCCUUUUGUGAGUCUUUUUUCCUGAACUGAAUUGCUUCCCUCCACUUGUAUCAUUAUUACCAAUACCCCUUGAUUUAUGAAACCCAUUAGCAAAACUUUUAACUGCAAAAUUCAUUGUGAGCCAGAGUUAGAAACCUGUUCUGUCUCCUGCACAUUAGGCACCCAUCUUUAUUUAAGAGGAUCCAAGGCAUUCAGCUUCCAUCUGCCUCACAAGCAGCUGCUUCCUUUCCUAGUGGGCUGCCACAGGAAGAUUUUAAGUUUUGUGGCAAAUCCCACAGCCUCGGGUUCUUGGCCUACGUCCAUUGACCUUGCUCCAGAAUAUGAAGUCAAUUGGGUAUCUAUAAAUUGAUCCAUUGCUAAAUUAGUCUUAGACAUAGUUAAGGGAUAUGGAUAUGCCAGGAACACAAGGCACAACUCCUCAGACCCUCUGCCAGUUCAAAGAGAUUUCUUUUUUAAGUCCUAGUUCUGAUAGUGGUUUGUCACCAGGUUGCAUAUCCAGUACUUGUACCAGAUCUGGGCUACUGUUUGCCAUGGAGGAUAAGUUCUUCAGCGUCAAAGAUGAAUUAUGCAAGAUGGCUGCUCCAAACGCCCCUUUCCCCUGCUCAUUCCCCAGACCAUUCGUUUAAGCUGAGCCAAAUAAGCACCCCCAGGGAACUUUUCCCUAAAACAUAGUGAGGUAGGUUUUUUUUUUGGCAGGUUCUCAGCUGAAAUGUUCCUGCCUGUCCCUUCUGGGUCUCCCAGGUUUACAAACAUUGUAAAUGCCCUAUUAAAAAUGUCUUGUCCAACUUCUCUGGCUGGCUUGAUUUCUCAAGACAGUAGGCUUCCAGCAUGAUACCUUUGCAUCCCUUCUCCUCAAAUCCCUGUUGCAUUUCAUUUCUAUUGACAAAUUUCAAGUUGGCCAAUGUGCUCAUGACCUUCCCCUUUGCCUGUGAAGCCUUUUGGUUCACUGCGAGUUGCUUGUCAUCUUAUUUAUCCAUUUUUACAAGUUCACACUGGGAACUCUGUAGCUAGGCCUUCAACUUCUGCCCCCAAGUUUUUCUUCGUGACUGCAAGUCACCUUGGUCCUCUCUAAAAAGUCACAAAGUAUGGAGAAACCACCAACUCAUUUAGAGUUCUUUUGGCCAUCAUUGCUUGUAGAUAUUUCCAUUAUCAUUUCCAUCUUCCAACAAGAGUAUUAAGACUUUCUGUCCUUGGACAUUUUGCAUCAACACCGACAGCAAAACUGCUUUCUGAUAAAAGUGAUUGGCCUAUAUUUAGGAUCUUGCAGGGUUCUUUCCUAUAGAAGUUGGACCAAUUCUUUGGUGUAAUCAUACUUUUUUUCUCCUUCACAAAGAGGAUGCCAAAAGUCCUGCUUUGUCUGAACCAGUAAAAACAAAAUAACAGCUGACAGUUUCCUUGCUAACUAUUUUCCCUCUCCCCCUCCAAUCACUUCUGUACUCGGGGAGCUCUCUCGGGGCUGCACUCGAAAUUAUUUUCUGGCUAGUUACAACUCCUAAUGCAUGCAAUUUGCCAAGCAAUCUCUUAGUUUCUGCAUUUAUGACUAGCCCCAAGUAUACCCUUCAGACCACACAACUUCACCCAGCUCAGACUUCACCAUGCAGCCCAAUGCCUUGGAUAAUAGCCUCUUAUUAUUUCCAGUUAUGACUACAGAAAGGACAUUGAAUCGCUCCUUCCAUUUAGCCUGAAAAAAAUGCUUAGCACACCCAUUGCCAGGUUUACUUAUAAAUGAAAGACCCCUUUGAUAUCUGCCAUUAUGGAGUAACAUAACAGUGUGCAGAGAGCAUAUGAAAGAACUAGCACUGAAGCAGAACUGAGGUAUAAGUGUCCAUAAAGUGUCUGUCUGUACAGCAGAACUGACCAGUCUGACUACAGCAAAUUAAAUUAUUCCAAGCAUAACUACCUCAUGUGCACUUACUCUGUAAAAGAGUCAGUUUUAUUCCAGAAUUGGAUGUCUGCAAAGUAGUUAUACACCAGCAUAGGCGAAACUGAAGUUACUCUGCUACUUAAGAAUCAUUUUAUAUAGACAAGCUUUAAGAACGAGGAAUAUGAGAAAGCAUCAAAGCUUUUGUUGUACAGGGAUCCAGUUCAAGCAUCUAGGUCACGACAGAGUUUGUUGUUGAACACAAACGAUCAAAUUGCAUGUCCAAAAAUAUUGCAAAAAAGCAAUACUUUUGAAGGAUGGUUGCACUGGGUCUUCUCACUUUUGAAGUGGUCAGAGAUUUGGGCUACAAAUGUUGUUUUUCACAUGUCACCCUGAAGAUUAAGGAUAGAAACACACAUCCAGCUGCUGUUACUACAGAUCAAAACAUUAAGAGAUGCUGGGGUUUGGAGGGAAAAGGUAUAAAGCUGGAAUCCUUGCCUUCUAGUUCAUCAAGAGCUGAAUAAUUACAAGGAGGGACAGUUAUGCAGAGACUAAGUGUGGAUGUAUAACCUGAAAAAAAAUGACUGAACUAAUCAUUUUGGAAAUCACCAAUUGAGCGGACAACUUGUGGAAAGUAAUCAAGGUGAAAAUACCAAUAGUAUCAAUGAAAGGUUAGUAGGAGAACUGUAUUGGGCUGUAUGACCUCCAGCAGUCUGACAACCUCAUAUGAUGCAAAAUUAAUUUUUUUAUGCUGCUGGCUUACAUAUGAUGUAUUCACACUGUUCCAAAGCAGACUAACUCCCUUCUUCUGAUAAUACCUAGUGGCACCUGUUUGGUCUUUUUUACCAGGUCACGAUACCACAACAGCACUUAAAUAAAGGGGAACCUGGAAAAAAAAAUCUUAACGAAUCUAGCUUCCAUCAUCACUUCAAGAGCUGUGUGGCGGCUAAUUGUGCUGCAGACCUCAAACGAACAGUGUAUGGAAUAAGACUAUUAAAACUAAAAAGAGUUUUAUUUAUAUCCUUCAGGUUUUGUGAUGACCACACUCACCACCCAAAUUUUAUUGGAAUUAUAAACUCCUAAAGCACAGACCUGUACCAAAUCUUCAGAUAAAACAAGGCCAGAUUAGCAUUUUUUGCUUACUGUUCAUCUACAUUUGAGAAGGAUCAAUCUUGUGGUUCUGAAGGUUAAUCAAAAGCAAAUGAACAUGAAAGGCUCUAAUUUGCUACAUAUUAUUCAUUUAAUUUGCAUGUACAGAAUGGGGAUUUUUGUUAUCUUUGUUUAAAUUUUAUCACCGUGGGAGAAUCACUUGCAUGAUGAUUUUAGUGCUCCUUUCCCAUCCCUAGUUCCUCUGUUUGGAGUUCAAAAUGUUAGCUGUGCCUCUCCCGGUAUUUUCCUUACUCCGUUUGAAAGGUACCUAAGUUGUACUAAAUCAGCUAGCCUUCUGAGUGGCAGCAAGCAGUCAUGCUAGCCAGGACACAUAACUGGUACAAUUUUCUUGUGCAACAAGUUACAAUCUCUGCAGUGCCUGGGAUGCUUUCUAUUUCUGCCUUCCCACGAACAAGUCUUAUACAUCUGUGUCCAAACAAGGACCACAGACUAGCAUUUCAUGAUCAGCAAUAUGGAUGCUGAUUAAGGGCACCCACAAAAAACAACCCUAUCCAAAUAGCGAUUUGGGCUCAGGGAGUUGGCAACCUUGGAAUGUUCUGUUGUGACUGGAUAAAGACUUAAUUAGCGAGCCGUGCUAAUUAAAAGUGCCCAGACAGGAAUCUGAUGAAGUUCAACAUCGAGAAAUGUAAAGUGCUCCACCUCGGGAUGAGCAACCCCCAACACAACUACAGGCUUGGUGGCACCAAACUGACCAGCACCACGAAUGAAAGGGACCUGGGGGUAAUAAUAGACCACAGCAUGCAUCAAUUGAUGCAUCUCCCGCAAAGCCAAGGCGAUUCUUCCACUACUCAGCACUGGUGUGGCCGCAGCUGCAGUACUGCGUCCAGCUUGGGCACCAGACUUUCACAAGGACGUGGACAAGCUGAGAAAGUCCAAAGAGCCACCCGUAUGAUCAGAGUCUUGCAUGGCAAGCCAUAUGAGGAAAGGCUGAAGGAUCUGGGACUCUUCAGCCUAAAGAAAAGAAGGCUGAGAGGGGACCUGGUAGUAGCUUACCGCUAUACUGGGGGACUACAUCAAGGGCUCAGUGAGCAACUGUUCACCAGGGCACUCCAGGGGAAAACUAAGAGUAAUGGCCAUAAACUCCUGGAAGACUGAUUCAGGUUCAACAUUAGGAAAAAACUUCUUCACAUUUAGCGUGUCCAGACUGUGGAAUAAGUUCCCUCCAGAGGUGGUGCAAUCACCUACCCUGGAAAUCUUCAAGAGGAGACCGGACAGCCACCUUGCUGGGGUCACUUGGCCCCCAGUUAUCUUUCCUGCUUAGCACAGGGGGCUGGACCCAAUGAUCUUCUGAAGUCCCUUCUGGCCUCACAAUCGAUUAAUCACGUGCAUCUGCAUCCCCAUGCUGAAAAAAUGGCAGUGGGACACUUUGAAUUAAAACCCCUUGAACACGUUUUAUUUCAAAGCACCCUGUCGCCAUUUUUUCCAGCGUGGGGACACGUGGGGACGCUGGUACACGUGACGUGGAAGGCUGCCAGAGCUGGAUUUUCAGCACGUCGGAGCAGGCUCCCCGCACAUCUAAUAGGAGCCCUAUGGGUUCCUUCUCCCUUCAUUAUGCACCAUCAUCUUUCCCUAGGAUUUAUUUUUAUAACAUCUUCCAUACACAUGAUCCUGUUUUCCUAGAAACGAGCUGGAGAAUUUGUCUAGAUAGACCACAACGUGAGGAAGGCAAGAGAAAGAGGAAGCAACCCAACGCUCUCUAAAGCGGUUACUGUUCCGCCUGCUUCCUGCAAACUAGCAAGGAGUAGAAGUGGAGCAAUCAAUUAACGUAUAGAUCGGAGAAAAUUAUGUCGGUAGUUAUAAAACUAUAGGGGCCAUUUUAAAUGGGCUGCAGGUAGGAAGCCAGAUGGGGAGACAAGUCUUUUCCUCUUUGAAAGGUGAGGCAGUGUGCUUGCAGCAGUCCAUAACCCUGCACUGCCCAGCAGUCACUCUUAUCCAGUAGUUUACAGAUCACUGGCAGGCCAGAGAAAAAGGAGGUACAUGCUGCUCACUGUCCCGUUUCCAGCUUUUCACUCUCCAUCACUAGAAAGUAGACAGGAUUUUCCUACUGCUUAAUUUUCUACAUGGGUUGAAGGGAGGUCUGGAAAGUGAAUGCACAAGGCUAGCAGGCAUCAGCUUUAUGAGAAUCAUCCUUAUGAAAGAACAGAACAGUUCCAUUUUACCUUAAUAUCUUCUAUAACAUCCGCAGCCAGGUGACAAUGUAGCACUACAUGAGACACAAACAGACCCCAGAUCUUUUUUUAAAUUUUUGUAGCUUUUGCCAAUAUUCGGAAGUAGCAUUGGGUAGUGCAUUUAUGCUCCAUUAGCAGAGCUUUAUGAUUAGCUAGUUAACCCAGGGAAAAUUUUAACUAAGUAACUGGACAUAGUUUGCUGCCUCUGCCCUGCACACCCCAUCAGAUUGCUGAAGUCAGCUUAUACAAGAUUAGUUUUUGUAGAGGCACGUCCAAAUUACACGUUGGUUUUGUUUGUCUUCACUUACCUCUCCAUUCAGUUUCUUUAACUUCAGAGGAAGGGGCAGUAAGGUCAAUCUUUCAGGGUUUGACAGAAGCAAAAUUAUCUCAAAUCAGUAGCUGAUAAAUCAACACUGAUACACAAGUCUUAUUUAGGAAUGAGAUAACUUGAACAAGACUUUGCCCCCCCCAAAAGAAACCCUUAGUUUGCAAAAUACAGCUAUUUUAUUUUCAUUGAAAUAUACUGUCUUCUUAUUCAAAACUUACCCGCCCGCCUCUGACAAAAUUAAAGUCAGAACGUAUUGGCACUACCCAGUUUGUAACCAUACAAUAAAAGGCUCCGAGUGCAGUUCUGAAAAUACCCCCCAAGAAGAGCCCAAUCAUGCCAUAUUUGAUAUGGUACGCAGGCAUUAUAUGUUCAAUUUAUAGGGAAAAUAUUCCCAUUUCCUGGAUCAAUGGACAAGCUUAAGUUGCAAUUUGAGUUAACUUCUUUUCCACCUACUUAAGGUCUGUAGGCCAAAUCCAGCCCUGACUGCGCAUAAGUUUAACUAAUUGGAACUCAGUCAAAUAAAUUUUGUUGAUAAUCACAGAAAAAUAGGACUGUGAGGGAAGCUUAAGAGGUCAUUUAGCCCAAACCCCUGCUCAAGGCAGGAUAAUUUUUGUCUAACAAUUCUAUACACGUUUUUGUCGAACUAACCUGCUUCAAAAUAUCAAGGAUGGAAAUUCCACCACCUCUUCAGUUAUGCAAAAGGGAGGAUGAAAUCCAAAUGUCUAUGAUUCCGUUGGCUUUGCAAGGCAAAGAGGAGUAGAAAGCGGCACGAAAAAUCCUUAAGUCAGCAGGGAGACUGGAUGUGCAGGAUAAAAUUAGAACCACUGAGUAGUAAGGAAGCAUGUUUGGUUAUUUUCCACAGCACAACUGAAUCCCCCAGGGCAGGGGGUCGGACUCGAUGAUCUAUUGAGGUCCCUUUGGACCCUAACAACUAUGAAACUGAAUUUUAAGUUCUUUACACGUACAACAUGCUGGAGGAUCACACAAAACUUGAUCUCUUGAUGCUCCAAUGCCAAGUCAUUUCAUUCUCUUUUCUUCCUCCUCCAAAUCAGGGCCCUCCAGGAUUAGAAGUCUGUCAUUUGCUAUUUUUUAAAUGGUUUGACAGCAGAAACUCAGCACCACUCACACAUUGGCCUUCUACUGUACAAGAAGCUGACAUACCUUUAUGCCAGUAGCUGUGUCUCAACAUGAACUUAGAUGACAGCUAUGUAAAAAUACAGGUUGGAUUUUAUUAUGAUUAUUCAUAUUUUUUACCAUAUUUAUAAUAGCUCAUCACCACUUUUUUCUGAUGCCCUGUAUGUUGAGAAUUUAGUUGUAAAAGUAAUGGGCAUUUGAAUAUAUGCACGCACUGCAGCAGCAGGUGUAUAGAAAAGUGCCUGGCACCGCAUCGUGUGCAAUUGUAUAAGCAGCGAAAUGCACAUCAGCGCUGAGAAAAUGGUGGCACACUUUUGAACCAACACACCUGGGAAGUGCUUUAGUUCAAAAGCACACCACCACCAUUUUCUACAUGCUGAUGCACAUUUCGCCGCUUAUACAACACAUGGCGCAGUGCAGCUUGCAUCAGCUGCUCCAAAGCAGUGGAUUUCCAGUGCAUUGUGGGAUGAAAAUGUGUAUAAGUGUCCAAUGAUUACAUAGCUGAAGGCAGUAUAGCAAGAAACCAUAUAACUGGUACAAUUGUCUUAGCACAGGAAUGUAAACUACCAUGCAGUUAUGACUGCAAUGAUAUCGUGCACGAAGUCGAGUGAUGUUAAGUUAUAUAGGAAGUGGGAAUUUUAGCCCCAGUCAACUCACAAAACUUUUAUCAGCUUAACUAAAACAGUAAUUAAAGCAGUAAAUCCAGCCCGUUUGGAUGCAUCCACAAUAUAAUAAUGUAUAUACCAUAUUAACAAAGGGGACAAACUAUGCUAUGCCCACGUUAGGGGUUGUACCAGUAUCAUUAUUUCUGUUAAAAAGCCAUCUCCUGAUUAAAAUAAAGUUAUACCAGUACAAAACAUGUAGAACAGGUCCAA